This 337-nucleotide unclassified non-coding RNA is filed under the name soil metagenome. Its description in RNAcentral is "partial contains 5.8S ribosomal RNA, internal transcribed spacer 2, and large subunit ribosomal RNA". The stretch from base 1 to 120 matches the Rfam family "5.8S ribosomal RNA", at positions 35 to 154 of the family's 154-position model. The record is from RNAcentral.
GAUGAAGAACGUAGCGAAAUGCGAUAAGUAGUGUGAAUUGCAGAAUUCAGUGAAUCAUCGAAUCUUUGAACGCACAUUGCGCCCUAUAGUAUUCUGUAGGGCAUGCAUGUUCGAGCGUCAUUUGUACCUUCAAGCUUUGCUUGGUGUUGGGUGUUUGUCCUCUCCCUGGUGUUUGGACUCGCCUUAAAACAAUUGGCAGCCAGUGUUUUGGUAUUGAAGCGCAGCACAAUUUGCGAUUCUGGCCUUAAAAUACUAGCGUCCCUAAGUACAUUCUCACUUUUGACCUCGGAUCAUGUAGGGAUACCCGCUGAACUUAAGCAUAUCAAUAAGCGGAGGA